RNAcentral lists this ribosomal RNA (481 nucleotides) under uncultured bacterium. Its description in RNAcentral is "bacterial SSU rRNA". It matches the Rfam family "Bacterial small subunit ribosomal RNA", at positions 28 to 507 of the family's 1533-position model. The record is from RNAcentral.
GACGAACGCUGGCGGCGUGCUUAACACAUGCAAGUCGAACGGAGUUACGUAUGAAGUAUUUCGGUACGGACUAUGUAACUUAGUGGCGAACGGGUGAGUAACACGUGGGCAACCUGCCCUUAACCGGGGGAUAACAUUGUGAAAACAGUGCUAAUACCGCAUAACAGAGUAUCGGGCAUCCGAUAUUUUUUAAAAGGAGCAAUCCGGUUUAGGAUGGGCCCGCGUCCAAUUAGCUAGUUGGUGAGGUAACGGCUCACCAAGGCUACGAUUGGUAGCCGAACUGAGAGGUUGAUCGGCCACAUUGGGGCUGAGACACGGCCCAGACUCCUACGGGAGGCAGCAGUGGGGAAUAUUGGGCAAUGGGCGAAAGCCUGACCCAGCGACGCCGCGUGAAGGAUGAAGGUCUUCGGAUUGUAAACUUCUUUGAUCAGGGAAGAAAGAAAUGACGGUACCUGAAGAACAAGCCACGGCUAACUACGUG